Molecule: long non-coding RNA, 2914 nt
Organism: Corvus hawaiiensis (hawaiian crow)
Lineage: Eukaryota; Metazoa; Chordata; Aves; Passeriformes; Corvidae
Exons: 3
Source: RefSeq, a predicted model, not a curated record
UUAAUAACACAAUUACAUAUGCAACUGAAAAUCUCAGGUCUCUAAUUACUUGAGCUUCUUAUGGGACAGUGUCAUCAAACUGAAGAAGUGUUAUGGGGUUUAGCUGUUGUGUGUGAGACAUCUGAGCCCUCCUGGCUGCCAGAGCCACCCUGCCCUGGCUGCUUCCCUCUUCCUCUCUCUGGCCACAUUACCUCUGCACCCCUGACCAGCUGCAGCUGCUUGGUAAAUUGGACGGAGGAGUUGAUCCUUUAGAGAAAUAGGUGGUGUUAGCACUUGUGCAGCCUGGGGUGGUGUGGAGGUGGAAAUAAAUUCCAAGGAGGGGAAAAAAAAAAGUCAUGGUUUAGUCCAAGCUGGCAACAAAGUAUGAUGCAGAUGUUCAAUUUUCACCCCAUGGCCCCAUUGGCAUGAGGAGGAGAAUCAGAAAAAAAGAUAAAACCUGUGGGUUAUGAUGAGUAGUUUAAUAACUGAAAUAAAAUGUAAUAACAGCAACAACAAUAAUGAAAAGGAAGACAACAAAAAUAGAGAAAUAAAACUCAGGAGAGACACGUGAUGCACAGUGCAACUUCUUACCACCCACUGACUAGAGCCCAGACUGUCCCGGAAGAGCAAUCAGCCCCUCCCAGCCAACUCCUCUCAAUUUAUGUACUGCAAGAUGUUCUAUGGUAUAGACUAUACCUUUGGCCAGUUCAGAUCAGCUGUCCUGGCCAUGCUCCCUCCUGGCUUCCUGUUCCCUUCCUCACUGGCAGGGCAAGGGAAACUGAAAGGUCCUUGAUUUAAAGUAAGCACUACGAGCAACAACUAAACCACUGCUUUGUUGUCAACAUUCUUCUCAUACUAAAACCAAACCCAAAGGACUAGGAAGAAAAUUAACUCUAUCCCAGCUGGAAACAGGACAAGAAGCAGGGUCUAAUUUUUUUUAGAUAACCAUGUCAUCUCAGUACUGUCAAUCUGCAGCCUCAGAAGAGAAAAAAUAAUGGGCUCGUUGCAUUUAAGGGGAGAUAAAUGGUUUCAUUUGAGUAAACUAGGCAUUGAUGCUACAGUUGUAAGGAACAAUUGUCUAUAUUUAUGAAACAACUACAGUUCAGUCUUGCAAAUCCUUUUUCAGUCACAAGGGUGACCGUUCUGCUAACAAAAUGUCCUUAUCUUUUUACUGAGGUGAAAAAUAUUAUGAUUGGGAGACAGAUGGAUUUUGCUGUGUGCUGUCCUGGGGAAAGAUGUGACUGCUGAUCGCCAUCACCUUGGGGGAGGCUGGUACGAUAUCUGAUCACCUGCUGAUCAAACAUUCCCUGAAGUGUGGUAGAAGGCAGGAAGAAUGAUGCUUGCUAAUUUGAAUUUCAGAAAGCACCUAAACUUCAUUCUGAUCUCCAGAGAUUAUGGAAAACAAUUAAUUGCCUGCUUUCACAAAAAAUGUCUCUGAAAAUUGGAGAACUGCUGUCAAGCCUCCUCCUAGUCUUUCCUCUCCUGGAUUCAGCUUUGCAAGCUCAGUUCUUGCAGUCUUAUGCUAGAAAACUUUUUUUAAAGUUCAUACUUAUUUUGGAUUUUGGGACUUUCUCCAGCUGGUUGAUGUAUUGUAUUGACAUGUGAUAACCUGCAGUGGUCACAGGGAUCCAGGUAAAGAAUUACCAGCUCUGAGUAGAAAGAAAGGAACGUUUUGUGUGUUUAACAUAAAAUGUACUAAUUUUAUCUAACCCAGCAUGAUUGCUUCUUAGCCAGUUGUACAGUUUUAUUGUUUGUUUGUGAUCCAUUCUAAUUGCCAGAUUCUUUUUUGCACUGUGUUUGUCUGAUUAGUCAUUCUCCCUUUUAUAUUUGUGCAGGUAAUUUUACUUGUACAGGAACAUGUGAAUUCACUUAAUUGCUUAGCUGGAUUCAGAUUUCUGCUGUGCACCAAGAUCAUUUAAAAUAUACAUUCUGCACUCUGAUGGGUUUGAAGUCUUUUUAGCUUAGUGUAAUUUUCAAACGCAAAAAGCAUCUUAAUCACCUACCAGUUCAACAGUGAACAUGUCAUGCAGAUUCUUGCAGAACCUGACCUGAUGCAUCUUCCUCAUUUAAAAAUGAAUCACUAAUAACUAUUGGUAACUAAUUCUGUGAAUAGGAUUUCCCAAAUAACUACCUACCUCAAAUCUGCUUGUCUAUGCAAGUGUCCUGUGAGAUGUCAAAAGCCAAAAUCCAGAUGCAUGACAGUGUUUUUUCUCUUCUGUCCAUAAAUCUUGUUAUCUACUGUAGACAGAAAGAAAUUUGCUCUUACACGAUUUAUUUAUUAGAAAUUCUUUUGUCUCUUACACCAUGUUUAUAUUCAAAAUUCUUACAAAUAGACCUUUUCAUUAUUUGUUCUGAUAUUUUUCUGGUAAUUGAAGUUAAGCUCUUCUCCUUUUUGACAUUUUAAAAGUAAGUGUUUGCCCUUUCUAGUCUUCUGGAAUUCUUGUCCCUCAAGUUGUUAAAUACAAUUGUUAAUGGCUAAUAAAAUGUUUUCAGUGUUCUCAGAACUGAAUUACAUCAGACCUAGCCAACCUGAAAACAACUACAUUAUCUACGUAGAUUCUACCCUUAUUUUUUCUUUUUUUUUUGCCUGAUUUUCACUCUUCUAUUUAUGAUUUUAAUGGGGUUGGCUAUGACAUUAAAACUGAUCUUUUAAGCAAAGGCUAAAGCCAAAAGAUCAUUGAACACUUUCAAGAUAAAGUAAUAAUGCUGUAAGUAUGAUAGCCUAAGAGUAUAAGCAAGGAAAGGUAGUGGAGAAAAAGCAAUCUCUCCCAUUAAACCAAUUGAUGUAGCUGGAAAAUAGACAAGCAUCUGCCUCUGUAAUGGGGUUUGUGUUCCUGAAGACUUUUUUGUUUUUUUACUACUAAAUUAGUCAGUUUAAUAAAAGGUAUAACUUUGCUCCCCUGCUCCUGAAUCAACACUUUAGCCUAUUUGCCAG